This 253-nucleotide ribosomal RNA is filed under the name uncultured bacterium. RNAcentral's name for it is "partial 16S ribosomal RNA". It matches the Rfam family "Bacterial small subunit ribosomal RNA", at positions 524 to 776 of the family's 1533-position model. The record is from RNAcentral.
UACGGGGGGGGCAAGCGUUGUUCGGAAUUACUGGGCGUAAAGGGCCCGUAGGCGGCCAACUAAGUCAGACGUGAAAUCCCUCGGCUUAACCGGGGAACUGCGUCUGAUACUGGAUGGCUUGAGUUUGGGAGAGGGGUGCGGAAUUCCAGGUGUAGCGGUGAAAUGCGUAGAUAUCUGGAGGAACACCGGUGGCGAAGGCGGCAUCCUGGACCAACACUGACGCUGAGGAGCGAAAGCCAGGGGAGCAAACGGG